CGGGGAAUUUUGGACAAUGGGCGAAAGCCUGAUCCAGCAAUGCCGCGUGUGUGAAGAAGGCCUUCGGGUUGUAAAGCACUUUUGUCCGGAAAGAAAUCCUUGGCUCUAAUACAGUCGGGGGAUGACGGUACCGGAAGAAUAAGCACCGGCUAACUACGUGCCAGCAGCCGCGGUAAUACGUAGGGUGCAAGCGUUAAUCGGAAUUACUGGGCGUAAAGCGUGCGCAGGCGGUUUGCUAAGACCGAUGUGAAAUCCCCGGGCUCAACCUGGGAACUGCAUUGGUGACUGGCAGGCUAGAGUAUGGCAGAGGGGGGUAGAAUUCCACGUGUAGCAGUGAAAUGCGUAGAGAUGUGGAGGAAUACCGAUGGCGAAGGCAGCCCCCUGGGCCAAUACUGACGCUCAUGCACGAAAGCGUGGGGAGCAAACAGGAUUAGAUACCCUGGUAGUCCACGCCCUAAACGAUGUCAACUAGUUGUUGGGGAUUCAUUUCCUUAGUAACGUAGCUAACGCGUGAAGUUGACCGCCUGGGGAGUACGGUCGCAAGAUUAAAACUUAAAUGAAUUGACGGGGUCAUAGCUGUUUCCU
Molecule: ribosomal RNA, 585 nt
Filed under: uncultured bacterium
Lineage: Bacteria
Description: partial 16S ribosomal RNA
Rfam family: Bacterial small subunit ribosomal RNA
Source: RNAcentral